UACGUAGGGCGCAAGCGUUGUCCGGAAUUAUUGGGCGUAAAGAGCUCGUAGGCGGCCUGUUGCGUCCGCUGUGAAAUCCCGGGGCUCAACCCCGGGCCUGCAGUGGAUACGGGCUGGCUGGAGGCAGGCAGGGGAGAACGGAAUUCCUGGUGUAGCGGUGAAAUGCGUAGAGAUCCGGAGGAACACCGACGGCGUAGGCAGCGCCGUAGACGAGACCUGACGCUCAGGCACGAAAGCGUGGGGAGCAAACAGG
RNAcentral lists this ribosomal RNA (253 nucleotides) under uncultured bacterium. Its description in RNAcentral is "partial 16S ribosomal RNA". It matches the Rfam family "Bacterial small subunit ribosomal RNA", at positions 524 to 776 of the family's 1533-position model. The record is from RNAcentral.